Molecule: transfer RNA, 92 nt
Filed under: Clostridia bacterium
Lineage: Bacteria; Bacillati; Bacillota; Clostridia
Also listed under: 1 other name
Description: tRNA-Ser
Rfam family: tRNA
About the family: Transfer RNA (tRNA) molecules are approximately 80 nucleotides in length. Their secondary structure includes four short double-helical elements and three loops (D, anti-codon, and T loops).
Source: RNAcentral
GGAGGAGUACUCAAGAGGCCGAAGAGGAUGGUUUGCUAAACCAUUAGAUCGCGCGAAGCGGUGCCGGGGUUCGAAUCCCCGCUCCUCCGCCA